UAGCCGUAAACGAUGCGGACUGGGUGUUGGGAUGGCUUUGAGCUGUUCCGGUGCCGAAGGGAAGCUGUUAAGUCCGCCGCCUGGGAAGUACGGUCGCAAGACUGAAACUUAAAGGAAAUUGGCGGGGGGAGGCACCACAACGCGUGGAGCCUGCGGUUUAAUUUGGAUUCAACGCCGGAGAUCUCACCAGGGGCGGACAGCAGUAUGAUGGCCAGGUUGAUGGCCUCGCUUGACAAGCUGAGAGGAGGUGCAUGGCGUCAGUGACU
RNAcentral lists this ribosomal RNA (266 nucleotides) under uncultured archaeon. RNAcentral's name for it is "partial 16S ribosomal RNA". It matches the Rfam family "Archaeal small subunit ribosomal RNA", at positions 748 to 1008 of the family's 1478-position model. The record is from RNAcentral.